Molecule: ribosomal RNA, 1365 nt
Filed under: uncultured bacterium
Lineage: Bacteria
Description: bacterial SSU rRNA
Rfam family: Bacterial small subunit ribosomal RNA
Source: RNAcentral
GGACGAACGCUGGCGGCGUGCCUAACACAUGCAAGUCGAACGCGUCUGUGCUUCGGUACAGAUGAGUGGCGAACGGGUGAGUAACGCGUGAGUAACUCCCCUUGGGGAGGGGGAUAACCAUCUGAAAAGGUGGCUAAUACCCCAUAUUCUCUUUUCUCAUAAGAGGAAGGAGGAAAGGUGGCGCAAGCUGCCACCCCGAGAGAGGCUCGCGUCCCAUCAGCUAGUUGGUAGGGUAAUGGCCUACCAAGGCUAUGACGGGUAGCUGGUCUGAGAGGAUGGUCAGCCACACUGGGACUGAGACACGGCCCAGACUCCUACGGGAGGCAGCAGUGAGGAAUCUUGGGCAAUGGGCGAAAGCCUGACCCAGCGACGCCGCGUGGAGGAAGAAGGCCUUCGGGUCGUAAACUCCUGUUUGGGGAGAAGAACAAGAGAGAAGUUAAUAGCUUCUCUCUCUGACGGUAUCCCCGGAGAAAGCUCCGGCUAAUUACGUGCCAGCAGCCGCGGUAAUACGUAAGGAGCGAGCGUUGUCCGGAAUUAUUGGGCGUAAAGAGCUUGUAGGCGGUUUGUCGCGUCUGCUGUGAAAAUCCGGGGCUCAACCCCGGACUUGCAGUGGGUACGGGCAGACUAGAGUGUGGUAGGGGAGACUGGAAUUCCUGGUGUAGCGGUGAAAUGCGCAGAUAUCAGGAGGAACACCGAUGGCGAAGGCAGGUCUCUGGGCCACUACUGACGCUGAGAAGCGAAAGCGUGGGGAGCGAACAGGAUUAGAUACCCUGGUAGUCCACGCCGUAAACGUUGGGAACUAGGUGUGGGUCUCAUUCCACGAGAUCCGUGCCGCAGCUAACGCAUUAAGUUCCCCGCCUGGGGAGUACGGCCGCAAGGCUAAAACUCAAAGGAAUUGACGGGGGCCCGCACAAGCGGCGGAGCAUGUGGAUUAAUUCGAUGCAACGCGAAGAACCUUACCAAGGCUUGACAUAUACCGGAAACACCCAGAGAUGGGUGCCCCGCAAGGUCGGUAUACAGGUGGUGCAUGGUUGUCGUCAGCUCGUGUCGUGAGAUGUUGGGUUAAGUCCCGCAACGAGCGCAACCCUCGUUCUAUGUUGCCAGCGCGUAAAGGCGGGGACUCAUAGGAGACUGCCGGGGUCAACUCGGAGGAAGGUGGGGAUGACGUCAAAUCAUCAUGCCCCUUAUGUCUUGGGCUUCACACAUGCUACAAUGGCCGGUACAAAGGGCUGCGAAAUCGCGAGAUGGAGCGAAUCCCAAAAAACCGGUCUCAGUUCGGAUUGGGGUCUGCAACUCGACCCCAUGAAGUCGGAGUCGCUAGUAAUCGCAGAUCAGCAAUGCUGCGGUGAAUACGUUCCCGGGCCU